ACGCGCCUGAUGCGGACCUGGGUUGGCGGAGUGAGGCCCAGUGGUCACCGCCGCCCUCCGCAGGUCCAGGUUGUCGUGCGCAUGCGCCU
Gorilla gorilla gorilla (western lowland gorilla) is the source of this 89-nucleotide microRNA precursor. NCBI's taxonomy places the organism in Eukaryota, Metazoa, Chordata, Mammalia, Primates, Hominidae. The record is from Ensembl.